This 149-nucleotide ribosomal RNA is filed under the name uncultured Marinobacter sp. RNAcentral describes it as "partial 16S ribosomal RNA". It matches the Rfam family "Bacterial small subunit ribosomal RNA", at positions 383 to 524 of the family's 1533-position model. Lineage: Bacteria; Pseudomonadati; Pseudomonadota; Gammaproteobacteria; Pseudomonadales; Marinobacteraceae. The record is from RNAcentral.
CUGAUCCAGCCAUGCCGCGUGUGUGAAGAAGGCUUUCGGGUUGUAAAGCACUUUCAGUGAGGAGGAAAACCUUACGACUAAUACUCGUGAGGCUUGACGUUACUCACAGAAGAAGCACCGGCUAACUCCGUGCCAGCAGCCGCGGUAAU